This is a non-coding RNA of Alligator sinensis (Chinese alligator), 521 nucleotides long. The record is from the annotation of a RefSeq genome assembly. Lineage: Eukaryota; Metazoa; Chordata; Crocodylia; Alligatoridae.
ACGGGUAUGAAAGAGCUGUUACAGCAGAGGGAAUAUUUUACCCUAACCCACUAGCCUAAAGCAAAGGGAGACCAGCCACCAUGGGUUUGCUUCAUUAUCUUUGCAUUCUCUCAUGCUGCCUCUUGCCAGGUGCUGUGGGAGCGGUCACUUUAACCCAGCCAGGUUCGGUGUUUGCUCGGCCAGGGGAAUCCAUUAUCCUCACCUGUGACACCUCUGGCUACAACAUCAACGACUACCUUAUGCACUGGCUCCGUCAAGCUGAUGGAAAAGGCCUGGUGUGGAUGGCAGCCUUUAGGACAGGGCAUGCCACCUACAUUGCGAAUGACUUCAAAGAGCGUGUGACCCCUUCCACCAACGACUCCACAGCAAAGCUGCAGAUUGCAAGACUCACAUUGGCAGACACAGCGACUUACUAUUGUACAAGAGAAGCACAGUGCCUCCUGCCUCACUCCCUCCCGUACAAAAAGCCUCUGAGGGCCUGGUCUCCUCUCAGUUCCUCUUCCCCUUUUCACAUUGCCUGA